CAUCGGGAAACCAAGAGCAUACGGUGGAUGCCUAGACAUCAAAAGUCGAUGAAGGACGUAGCAGCCUGCGAUAAGCCUCGGUAAGGUGGCAAGCAACCUUUGACCCGGGGAUUUCCGAAUGGGGAAACCCGUUCUGAUGGAAGAUCAGAACAUCAUGCGCUGAAUACAUAGGCGUAUGAAGAGCACCCAGCGAAUUGAAACAUCUUAGUAGCUGGAGGAAGAGAAAAGAAGCGACCCUUUGCUAAAGUUGCGGCGAGCACUUGUCUCCGUAACUUUAGUGAAGGCUAUUCCCGUAGUAGUGGCGAACGAACCGGGAGGAGCCCAAACCAUUGUGAGCGUCACGCUUCGGCGUGACAGGGGUACAAGUCCUAUCCUUGCAGUGGGGUAGUGAGGUAUUACGUCUGGAGCUUGUCUCUCCAGGAUGGAGUUUACGCAAAGGAACUUCCCUAAAAGAAUCCGUUGGAAAGCGGAGCCAAAGAAGGUGACAGCCCUGUAAUUGAAAGGGGUUUCUGCUCUAUGGUGAUAUUCUCGAGUAGCGCGGGCCACGUGAAAUCCCGUGUGAAUCAGGGACGACUAUAGCAGUCUUGUCAUUCGGAGCAUUCAAAAUGGAUGUUCUGAAUGGCGAGACGUCCCAAGGCUAAAUACUUUUGAUGAUCGAUAGUGAACAAGUACCGUGAGGGAAAGGUGAAAAGAACCCCGGUGAGGGGAGUGAAAUAGUAUCUGAAACCGUAUGCUUACAAGGAGCCAGAGUCCGGCUUUGCCGGAUGAUGGCGUGCCUAUUGAAGAAUGAACCAACGAGUUAGCUGAAUACAGUCUGGUUAAGCCCGUUCAGGGCGCAGCCACAGUGAAAGCGAGCACGAAUAGUGCGUAUUGAGGUUUAGUUUUUCGUCAUUCCCUCGGGAGUGGCGAGGAACUAUUCUCUCAGGAUUGUAUUCACUAGACCCGAAGCCAGGUGAGCUAUCCAUGGCCAGGAUGAAGCGCAGGUAAAACUGCGUGGAGGUCCGAACUCACUCGCCGUGCAACACGAGGAGAUGAGCUGUGGAUAGAGGUGAAAUGCCAAUCGAACCUGGCAAUAGCUGGUUCUCCCCGAAAUAGCUUUAGGGCUAGCCCGGCAUACUGCCUGCUCCGAGGUAGAGCACUGAAUGGGUGCGGAUGGCUUUUGCCUACUGCAUCCAACCAAACUCCGAAUGCGGACGCAGGAAAUGCCGGAGUCAGACCGUGGGGUCUAAGCUUCACUGGUCUAAAGGGAAACAGCCCAGAUCACUGUCUAAGGUCCCUAAAUCUCGAUUAAGUGUAAAAGGUGGUGAAAUGACUACGACAACUAGGAGGUUGGCUUAGAAGCAGCCAUCCUUUAAAGAAAGCGUAACAGCUCACUAGUUAAGUUGUCUUGCGCCGAAAAUUUGCGGGGCUAAAUCGAGUACCGAAGACGUGGGCUUCAAGCUUUCGGGCUUGGAGCGGUAGGGGAGCGUUCUGUAUCUGCUGAAGUCGUUUCGCGAGGAACGGUGGAGGAUACAGAAGUGAGAAUGUUGGUAUAAGUAGCAAAAAUCCGGGUGAGAACCCCGGACACCGAAAAUUCAAGGGUUCCUGGGCAACGUAAAUCGACCCAGGGUUAGGCGGUCCUAAGCUCAAGCCGAAGGGCGUAGGCGAUGGACAGCUGGUUAAUAUUCCAGCCCUUCCCACUGAUUGUGUAUUUCUGACGUAUGCGAGGCGUCCGAGCGGAUUCUUGGUUAUGUCCGUCGCGGUGCGUUCGCAAGAGCGUACCGAGGAAGAGGAAGCUUCGGCUGAAUCGAUUCGGGCUUAUCGCGUGCCAAGAAAAGGAGAUACACGUUCGUCAGUGGGAAUCCGUACCGUAAACCGACACAGGUGAGUAGCCACACUGGAGUGGUAAGGUGUACGAGAGAACCUUCGUUUAGGAACUCGGCAAAACAGCGGCCGUAACUUCGGGAUAAGGCCCGCCUAUCUUACUUCGGUAAGAUAGGCCGCAGCGAAUGAUUCCAAGCGACUGUUUACCAAAAACACAGGUCCCUGCGAAACCGUAAGGUGAAGUAUAGGGGCUGAUGCCUGGCCAGUGUCCGAACGUUACGCUGAGGGGUGAGAGCUCCGAAGCUAAGCGCGGAUGAACGCCGGCGAUAACUAUAAUCGUCCUAAGGUUUUCCAAAUCAUAAAUAAUGGUUUGGAAAAGGACUGGGACGAUUAUAAGAGUGAAUGCCAAAAGCUGCCUCAUGUCAUAGUAAUAUGACAAUGGUCCAAAAAUACUUGGCUAUAUCGGUGGAACUCCGAUCGAAUGAUCGGACAAUACCGAGGGAAGUCUCCCGCGAAGCGGGAUGACCCCCUAGAGACUAGAACGCCAAGCUCCGUAGAAAUACGGAUGAAGAUACAGUCCAAUCUCACUGGUAACAGUGAGGAAAAAUGAGCGAAAUUCCUUGUCGGGUAAGUUCCGACCUGCACGAAUGGCAUAACGAUUUGGAAACUGUCUCAACGAGGGACUCGGCGAAAUUGCAAAGCCGGUAAAGAUGCCGGCUACCCACGGCUAGACGAAAAGACCCCGUGAAGCUUUACUACAACUUGAUAUUGGUCUGACGCUGCUCGCGUUUGAGCAUAGGUGGGAGACUGUGAUCUCCGGACGCCAGUCCGGAGGGAGUCGCCAGUGAGAUACCACCCUUGGGUUGUGUCAGGUCUCACCGUUCGCCUUAACAGAGGCAGCGGGUCAGUGUCUGGUGGGUAGUUUGACUGGGGCGGUCGCCUCCCAAAAAGUAACGGAGGCGUUUACAAAGGUUGGCUAAAUCCCGAUGGAAACGGGAUGCGUCGUGCAAAGGCACAAGCCAGCUUUACUGCAAGGGCUGCAACCCGAGCAGUUGCGAAAGCAGAACUUAGUGAUCCGACCGUACGUAAUAGGACGGCGGAAGCUCAACGGAUAAAAGUUACUCCGGGGAUAACAGGCUUAUCACGCCCAAGCGUCCACAGCGACGGCGUGGUUUGGCACCUCGAUGUCGGCUCAUCGCAUCCUGGGGGUGGAGAAGCUCCCAAGGGUUUGGCUGUUCGCCAAUUAAAGCGGUACGCGAGCUGGGUUCAGAACGUCGUGAGACAGUUCGGUCUCCUAUCUGCCGUGGGCGUUGGAUGUUUGAAUGAGGGCUCUUCUCUAGUACGAGAGGACCGAGAAGAACGAACCUCUAGUGAACGAGCUGUCUGACCACAGGCAUAAGCUCGGUAGCUACGUUCGGCCAGGAUAAACGCUGAAAGCAUCUAAGCGUGAAACCUUCCUCGAGAUAAGACAUCUUCGAUCCCAGAGAGAUUAUCUGGUUAAUAGGCUCUAGGUGUAAGGCCAGUAAUGGCUUCAGCCGAGGAGUACUAAUGAUCAUCUCUCGAUGUA
This 3370-nucleotide ribosomal RNA is filed under the name bacterium. RNAcentral describes it as "23S ribosomal RNA". It matches the Rfam family "Bacterial large subunit ribosomal RNA". The record is from RNAcentral.